Molecule: ribosomal RNA, 402 nt
Filed under: uncultured bacterium
Lineage: Bacteria
Description: bacterial SSU rRNA
Rfam family: Bacterial small subunit ribosomal RNA
Source: RNAcentral
AGGGGAAUCUUGCACAAUGGGGGCAACCCUGAUGCAGCGACGCCGCGUGAGCGAUGAAGCCCUUCGGGGCGUAAAGCUCUUUCGACCGGAACGAUAAUGACGGUACCGGGAGAAGAAGCUGCGGCUAACUACGUGCCAGCAGCCGCGGUAAUACGUAGGGAGCAAGCGUUGUUCGGAUUUACUGGGCGUAAAGGGCACGUAGGCGGCGCGGUAAGUCACUUGUGAAAUCUCUGAGCUUAACUCAGAACGGCCAAGUGAUACUGCUGUGCUAGAGUGCGGAAGAGGCAACCGGAAUUCUUGGUGUAGCGGUGAAAUGCGUAGAUAUCAAGAGGAACACCUGAGGCGAAGGCGGGUUGCUGGGCCGACACUGACGCUGAUGCGCGAAAGCCAGGGGAGCAAACG